UUCCUUUCCUUUCACUUUUCCUCGUGGAGGUCACAGUGGCAAUAGAUUGAGAAGGUCAGUCCAGACAUAUCCAUGUCCAGUCACCACAGAUUCCAGCUCCUCCUGGGGUCUCCAUUGAGUAGGACAUGCCUUAUGCAGCUCUAUCAGGACCCAACCAUGGACAUCCAUUGUUUUGACUCGACUCAGGCUCUCCGUCCUCCUGCCUCUUGGAGAUUACUGCAGCAUGCAGUAUGUUAUGACAGUGAUGUAUGUGUUCCCAUGCUUAAGAGUCCUGUGUCCUGCAAGACAGGUACUUGUGGGACCCUGCUACAUGGAACACUCUCAAAUUUGCAAUUUUCCAUAUAAGCACAAACUCUGGAGAACUGAAGGGGAUGUGAG
Molecule: long non-coding RNA, 378 nt
Organism: Ictalurus punctatus (channel catfish)
Lineage: Eukaryota; Metazoa; Chordata; Actinopteri; Siluriformes; Ictaluridae
Source: Ensembl